UGUAAGCGUAUACCAAAGUUGUUGCAGUUAAAACGCUCGUAGUCGGAAUUUGGCAGUUCCGGAUGUGUGCACGUCGUGUGCGCACUUCGCGGGGAUUGCUUUUGUGGUCUUGCGUAGGAUGAGGCACUUUUAUUAGUGAACGUCCUCACGCAACCACUUUUUACUGUGAGAAAAUCAGAGUGCUCAAGCAGGCAUUUGCCGUGAAUGUAUUAGCAUGGAAUAAUAGAAUAGGACUUGGUUCUAUUUUGUUGGUUUGUUGGGACUGAGUAAUGAUUAAGAGGGACAGUUGGGGGCAUUUGUAUUUCGGUGCUAGAGGUGAAAUUCUUAGAUUACCGAAAGACAAACUGCUGCGAAAGCGUCUGCCAAGGAUGUUUUCAUUGA
RNAcentral lists this ribosomal RNA (381 nucleotides) under uncultured eukaryote. RNAcentral describes it as "partial 18S ribosomal RNA". It matches the Rfam family "Eukaryotic small subunit ribosomal RNA", at positions 592 to 976 of the family's 1831-position model. The record is from RNAcentral.